AGGCAAAUCUUUUUAACGGAUUAAGCUACAUGACAAGAUAGUAAUACAAUGCAUUUAGGAGCUCUCUUUUAUGGCAGAGAUCUCUCCAUACCAAGAAUCAAUGUCAAUUAUCAAGCUAAUAAAAGUGAGCAUAAAACAAAAAUUACGAAAAGAAAAAGAACCUUAGGAUGCGAAGAAGAAGUGACAACUGGAAAUCCAUUAAUUACAGCUGAAUUGGCAGUAGGAGACGACCCAACAAGGGAGUGUUGCAAAUGGGUCGGUCUAACACCCGCACCAGCGGUCGGAACUGAACCCGGAUCCAUAUGAUUGAGCCCAAAAGGUGGUCGAGAGCCAACAACGGGCCGAUUGGGGUAAUUACUAGAACUAGGUUUGGGCAAAAAGCCGCGGCCGGAGGAAGCAACUGGGUAGAGAAAGCCUUGAAGAUGAUGUGGUGGGUCGGGAUUGUUAGGAGGUUUUGGUACUAAUUGAGAGUAAUUAGGAUUGGAGAGGGGUGGUAGGCGUUGAGGUGGUUGGUUUUGGGUAGGUGGGUAGUGAGAAGAUUGGAGGGAAAAAGGGUGCAGUUUAGGUUGAGGGGUGGGUGGUCUUAUAGGGU
This 592-nucleotide long non-coding RNA is filed under the name Nicotiana tabacum (common tobacco). RNAcentral's name for it is "long non-coding RNA (NTAB_LNC015864)". The record is from RNAcentral. Lineage: Eukaryota; Viridiplantae; Streptophyta; Magnoliopsida; Solanales; Solanaceae.